Molecule: long non-coding RNA, 4796 nt
Filed under: Sus scrofa (pig)
Lineage: Eukaryota; Metazoa; Chordata; Mammalia; Artiodactyla; Suidae
Description: lncRNA (ENSSSCG00000061609.1)
Source: RNAcentral
AGGGACUGGCAGGACUGCUCCAUGGUGGUGGCACACUUCCCUUGUCUGGCAGGGCUUGCCCUGGCACUCCUGCCCUGCAGAGCUUGUCCCAAGGGUGGGAAGUGCUGGCUGGCUUGCUUUGCUGGAAUGCAGUGCUUCCUGAGGGAAGGUGGGACUAGCUUACUCGCUCUGAGGCAAAGGAGCACUUCCCCAGGGGAGGCAGGACUUGCAGGUCCACACCGCGAUGGAGGCAGAUUUCCCAAAGGCUGGGCAAAGCUUGCCCUGGUGCUUCUGGGCCAUGGAGCAUUUCCAGGGGGUGGGCCGUGCUGGGCGGCUGCUCCACAGCACCUCCAGAGGCUGGCAGGCCAGGCCAUGGAAAGCCCCAGAGGUGGAUUCCUGCGAGUGGCAAGGCCAGUCCUCCAGGAUGGCAGGUGGCCUCUGGCCAUGAGUGCAGGGGUUGAGGGAGGGGGUAUGCACUGGGAAGAACUGCUGAUAGCUGGCGGGCAAGCACGCUCGCUGGGGUGCAAGGAGUAUUCUAUGGCAGCCCGGCCUUCCUCCUCUCCCCUCCCCAACACUGGUGCCUUGUCUCUCCUGUGGGUCCAGACCUUCUCCCAGGUUCCCUCUGCUGUGGCUUUCCACUCCCCAGCUCUUAGCGUAUUGCUACCUCCACUCCCUCCGUGACACACCACUUCCUAGUCCCUCGGGCUGUCUCCACACCACCAACCCCAGCCUACUCCCAGGGUCUAACUUCCGGAGCCAAGGUCUUAGUGCCCAGCCCCCACCCAAGCGUCUUGGUUUUUGGUGACUGUGCCAGUGGUUCAGAUGAUCUGUGUGGCUCUCACUCUGCUUUUCAGAUCUCAGACCUACUGUUGCGCUUUUCUCGACGUCUGGAGAUCCCUCUGACUCAGUUGAUCUUUCCAUCAAUUAAGUGACUUUCCAGGGUGUGGGUUCCCUUUCUCCUUCAUAUUCCCUUUCGGGAGUGCCAGUCCAGUCCUGAUUCCCCUUCUCUCACUCUCCUCUGUUCUCUUGUUUUACCCAGUUAUGUCAUGAGAUUCUUGCCAUUUUUGGAGGUUUAAAUUCUUAUGCCAGUAUUCAGUUGCUGUUCUGUGUGAAUUGUUUAACAUGUAGAAUUUUUUUUUUGUGGUGUUUGUGGGAGACGGUAACACAUCCCCCUUCUCUUCUACCAUCUUGCCUUUAUCCAUGUUUUUCUUAUUGCAAGAAAAUACAACUUUUCUUCAAAGGGAAGAGCAUGUGUCCAAUGCACAAUUACUCAUUUCUGCAAGUCUCUCUCCCACAUAUAACACCCCCAUCCAUUUUUUACAGGGAAAGACCUAUCUUACUAAAAUGCAUAUCUAUCAUGUAAUUCUCAUUUAUAAAACAGGUCAAUGAUUCUGCAUUUUCUAAAAGUUAUGGAGCUGGCAUAAAGACUCAUUUCCUAUGAUACCCUCCAUUCAUGUUAUAGUCAUUGAUACUGAACUGCAUACCUUUACCUAGAAUGGCCAGCUCCUCUAUUCUGCCUAAUAAACUUCUCAUUUUUCAGAAUUCACUUCCAACUCCACUUCCUCUUUUGGACCUUAAUUCUCCUAAGAAUUAGAUACUCACCUAGCACUUUAGUUAUCUCUUGCAGCAUACUAAUACCUUCUAUUAAUUUUUAUUUUGUUCUUUCUCUCUGUCUUUCAAGAUCUCGAUUUGUUGUAUAUUUCCUGACACAUAGAUAUAUCAAAAAUGUUUGCUGUACAGAAUAUAAUACAUUACAAACAACAGAUUCUAUAUGCAUAUCUGUUAACUCAAUGACCAGGGGCAUAAGUCCUCAGGGAGAGAGAAAAUCAUAUAGUGAAAAGUUAGAUGUUGAUAUAGUCAUCAAAACAGAAAAGGAAAUUCUUGAUUGAAAGGAUGUGAAAAUCAGUUACUGCUAGUCUUCCUGAAAACAAAAAUAAAUGCUGUAGAGAAUCUAGAAGCUUGGCUAGCAGUGGCCAUACCACACAAUACCAUGCUUAUGUGCCUCCCUCUAUUCUAUUCCUUUUUGACCUGCCUUGAACUGGCCCACUCUAUUUUUUAAAUUUUUUUAUAUAAUGUUUUUUUAUUUUUUUCAUUAUAGCUGGUUUACAGUGUUCUGUCAAUUAUUAAGCUAUAACCUUACUGAGCAAAUUCUUCUAUCCAUGUGAUUCAUUUCUUUACUGUAUAUAUCACUCUGUGUGUGUGUGUGUGUGUGUGUGUGCAUGCUGGUAUUUAAUGAUUGGAGAAAGGUGGAAAGUUUAUAAUAAAAAUCUAUAAGCUGUCUUUGAUUGUGCCUGAUGAAGGGCAGUGAUUGAAAAUUAAAAACUUUAUGACAAAUGAUGCCUUCAUUGUCAACAGAGAAGUUUUUCCUAUAACAAUGUUUGGAGAUCAGUGCUGCUAAAUAGCUCUCAUUUGGCACCAUAUUCUACAACUUACAUAUUUUAUUAGAUAAUUUGAUCCAUUUGAAUCUCUUCAAUUAACAAAAAAAUUACCAAGAAUAGUUUUCACUUUUCUUAAUUUCCUCCAAAGGAUUUAGCCCAGUUUUCAUCAUUAGGUAGUUACGCAAUUGAAUUAAUCUAACACAAUUUAGUUUGUUUAGACUUAAUUCUAUGGGUUCACUUUGAGAGUGCUUCUUAAACUAAGCUAAACAAUGAAUGAAGUAUUUGAAAUAAGAAAAACACUGUAUUAAUUGAUUAAUCCAUGAAUUUAUCUAAAAAUACUUUACAGGAUAACAAGAAGUAUAAAUGAGGAGCUUAUAAUUAGAAGUAAGCUAAUUUGUUUGAUGAAUAUAAGGAAUUCCAAAACAUAACAUCCCGAUUUUCAAGACUGUCUACAUUCACAAAGUGAAUCCAUGAAAUUGCUAUGUGAAACAUGCAGUUAACGUGAUUUACUUUUAUUAUUUAUAAUAUCAAUUGAUAAUUAACGAUUCUAUGGCUGAUUAUAAGUAUCACCAUAGAAUCGCUUUUAGAUCCUAAUUUUGACAUAAACAUGAACACUAAGAUAGCAACAUGUUACUAAAAUAUAUUACUUGAUUCCUCCCUAGAAUCUUUAAUUGCCUUAAUUAAGUUAGUGGCUGCAAUAUUUGGAAUUAAGGUUUAUUUUUGUAGACAGUACUACAAAAGAAGUUGGUAAUCAAUAAUAUAUUAGGAUUUGUUUUGUGAUAAUCCUGGAAAAGAUGACUGACUGCAAGGUAAAGACAACAGAAGGGCUUCUCUGCAAGAGAAAAAAUAAAAAUGCUAAAGAAUUAUUAAGGCAAAGCAAACAGACAGAAUUUCUCCAUCCCUUACUCAUUUUUUUAUUUGAUUGUUAUUACCCUGACAACUGGCUCAAUACAUCAGCCUCUGUUUGGCAUAGAAAUAUUUUGGAUAGUAAAUGAACUGGGUAUGUGCUUCAUAACUGAGCAUGAAUCAUUGCCUUUGCAAUAGCCAAAUCUUUGAAGACAGCUGUUGAGACAAUUUCAACUAAUGGUAAUUUUUAAAAAAUCCUAAGUACUAAUUUACAGUGUGUCUAAAGUAGAGAAUUAAACUACUUAUUAUCUUCAGUAACUUAUCCCUUUAGGGUGAGCAAGAAGCAAUAAUUGUUUCUAGUGCAACUUAUGGUGAUUUUUAAAAUAAAACAUUAGACGACUAAGCACUGUUCUUCACUCCCUUAAAUACUGGAUACAAAGCUCUGUUAGUAUCAGCCUUACCAAAGGUUUUAAUCAAUAAUUCAUAGGAUUUUGGCAAAGAAUUCAAUUGACAAUUAAUAUUUUUCACUGAAUUAUCUAUAACUUUUAUUAGAAUGAAAAUUAAAAUAGGAAUUGUACAGUAGAAGCUGUUUUUCUGUCACAGCACAUCACUGGGAGAGGUGAAAAGGACAGCUGAGGAUUUUUCCAUCCUCCUUGAUUUAACCUAUGUAAACUUUUGUUUCCUCACUGGAUGGAUGAUUUACAAUAAGGAGGAGUUGAACAGGUGAGAAAGAAUAUGGAGAACAGUGGGAAAUAAUGUUUCCACAUCUCUUUCCAUGAAAGAAAAAAAAAAAGCCUAUAUAAAGUCCAGAAGAAUCAUUAAAUGGGCCUCAUUUUGCACGCUGUGAUUUUUUUUUUCUUAUGGAUAUAGUCAAUAAAGAUAUUUCCUCAUUACCCCAUAUAUCUAAUCUGGUUGAAGUUUUCUAAUGAUGCCUACAGCUCAGUUCUAUGGAGGUAUACAAAAAUUCUAUGAUUGUUGGAAGGAAAAAAUCCCCAUUAUUUUUUUCUGUCCAAGACUAAUUCCUUAGUUGGCUAAUUUGUCCUUGCAGUAAAAACAAAUAUUUGAAAUUCAACUUAUACAGCCAAACAAAUAUUUAAAUUUAGAGCAUAGAAACAGAUAAAUAGUUUUCCAAUUACCACCUAAGCACAAAUUGUUAGAAAUUUAGUGGGAAAAAAAACUUAUGUUCAUAAAUAAGACAAAAUUAUUAUAUAACACUAAGCUAAAAUAUCCAGUAUAAAUUAUAUCAUAGUCAUUCAGAUGUCAAUCAAAACCCCUCCAAAUACAAAAUUUAUGACUUCCAGGCACAACACUGUAAAUCAACUAUACUUUUAAAAAUUCAAAUUUAUGACUUCCUAUUUCCAUAUGCACUGGAAAUAAAGUUGAUAUAUUCCUUUGUUUGUAAAAAUACAAACAAAGUUUCCAAAAAGAAAGCACAAGGCCCAUAUAUGUUCACUGGUGAACUAUAUCAGACAAUUCAAAACAAAAUUAUGCCAACUAUCUAAAAUCUCUGCAAAAGACAGAAGCAGAGGGAAUAUUUCCUAGCUCAUUCUAUGAAACAGCAUCACCCUAAUACAAAUACCAGAUAAAUACCCU